RNAcentral lists this long non-coding RNA (1441 nucleotides) under Monodelphis domestica (gray short-tailed opossum). Its description in RNAcentral is "lncRNA (ENSMODG00000048087.1)". The record is from RNAcentral. Lineage: Eukaryota; Metazoa; Chordata; Mammalia; Didelphimorphia; Didelphidae.
UGUGAUUUGGAGGCAUUUUCAAGGAAAGGAUUAAGAAAGAAUGAUUUUUUAAUAGCAUAAAGACAAGCCAAGAGAGGCAUGUGCUCUCUGUGACCUAAUGAAUAUUCCUUCCUUUCUCUCACAAAGCUCAAAGCCUGUAAUUGGCUCAUCAGGGUACAAAGUGUACACUCGGGCUUGGAUUGUGGGGGACAGAAACUUCCCAUGUGACUCCAUCUCCUCAAUGGGGAUGUCUGUGUUCCCACACUUGUUCAGAAACAUGUUCUGCCAUUCACAGACUCAUAGAGGGGAGCCAUUUAGGCUUGAUGUCAGGAAAAGAGGUAAAAACAACUUCCUAACAAUGAGAAGCAUACAAAAGGGAAAUCGACUACCUGGGGUAUGGUGGAGGCUGAGUGGGAGAGGAAAGGCAAAAUCUUGGCCUCUCUUUUACUGGAGGUCUUCAAUCAGAGGUUAGAGAAGCGGGGAAUGGAGAGGGGCAUGUGGGAAGAAGGAUUUUUUUUAAUAUAUGGACUAGACAAGGUAGCCAUGGAGAAACUUCCUAACCUUAUGAAGCUAUGGUUACAUUAUAGAAUAUAAGAGAUGGUAGGAAUGUAGAAUCUAGAGAACAGUGAAUGUCAGUGUUGAGAGAAGCCUUAGAACAGAGAAUGUCAGAACUCUGUGGAGCCUUAGAACAUAGGAUGUCAGAGUUGGGAGAGUCAUGUUAGAACAGAGAAUAUCAGGGUUGGGGGAUGGACCUUAGAACAGGUAAUAAGAGAACUACAGGGGCCUGAGAACAGAGGAUAUCAAGACAGAAAGAGACCUUUUGGAGGUAACAUUUGGAUGUAACAAUGUGCUCCGGUCAUUGAAGAAGCCAUUUUUUGUAGGAACAAUGACAGAGGAUGACCAUGAACAAGGAACUUUUAUGGAAUUGCAGAAUUUUAGAACUGGAAGAACCCCAGGAGGUCAUACAACAACAAGAAGAAGCAUUUUAAUUAGCACUUUAAAACUUCAGAGCAAGUUACAUAGACUAUCUCAUUUGACACUUCUAAUGACCCUACAAGUUGAAUGCUUGCUGCUGCUUGGUAAGAAAGGAGUUUACAAAAAUGCAAGAGGAAGAUGCAAGAUCAAAAUUCCAUUUGGAAUUCCAAUUACCUGGGACUGGACAGGAAGAGACAGUGGACCCCUUCUCUGUGGCUGUCUUGAGAUACCUGCCUGCUUCCUGCUGUUCACACUACAAAGAGAACCUGGAUUUCUUCUGGAGGUGUCUUUAUUUGGAGCAAAGGAAGACUCUUGUCUGGGCCAAUCACAGCUUCCAAAUUGUCUAGCACUGACCAGGGGGAAGAAGACCAUCCAAGAGAGACUAGAUGUUUACUUCCUUCCGGGUGUUGGAGGUGGGAAGAAGGAGGAGCUCAUUCUGCCCAGUCUGGAGUGGAGUACCUCUACUUGCUUCAGCCCGAAGACAUAG